This 74-nucleotide transfer RNA is filed under the name Verrucomicrobia bacterium IMCC26134. It matches the Rfam family "tRNA". From Rfam's summary of the family: Transfer RNA (tRNA) molecules are approximately 80 nucleotides in length. Their secondary structure includes four short double-helical elements and three loops (D, anti-codon, and T loops). The record is from Rfam by way of RNAcentral. RNAcentral also lists the same sequence under 1 other name. Lineage: Bacteria; Pseudomonadati; Verrucomicrobiota.
GGGGUGAUAGCUCAGCUGGUUAGAGCGUCUGCCUGUCACGCAGAAGGUCGCGGGUUCGAGUCCCGUUCAUCCCG